AAAAUGUAUAAACAUCUUUGUAAAACCACAAGCUUCUUCGCUUCAUUCAGAAUCUAAAUAAUAUAUUAAAAUAAACAUCAUUGUAUAAACAAUAAAUUCCUUGCUUCGUUCAGAAUCUUAAAAUAAUAAUAACCACGGCCAUAUAGAUAGAUCUGGCAACUCGCUAAAUUCUAUGUGCCGUUAUUGUAGACAGUUCGAGGGAUGGCUAUGUGGCGCUAUAUAUGCCACUAAUAUUGAUAUGUUCAAUAUUAGUCAUAUCAAUAUAUCAAUAUUAUGAUAGAUAUGUAUGGGAAAAAAUGCAUUAUUAAAAAUAAUUAAGUACUAACCAAAUUCUAAAAUAUUUGUAUUUAUUUUAUUAUUAUUUAGAGCAUUGAUUUUGGCUGUUUCCAAGCUAGAAACAAGUUUCAUUAGUGAAUUUAUUAGUGUGAAUAAGUGUCCUCCACUUCUGAAGUUAACAAAUUGGGUCUAAAGUAGGCUGUACGGAUCAUGAAUAUGAACUUACGAAGUACAUUAUACAAUUUUAUUUAAAUACGAGAAUGAAUUUUGCUUGUAAAAAAUAUAAUGACCAAAUGCCAGACCGGAAAAAAAAAAUAUCGACAAAAUUGACGAUUUCGGUAAAAAUUCGGUGUGUUGAAAGGUUCAUAGUUUUCGGUUUAAUCGUCAAAUACCAACGAUUAACACAAUUCUAACUGCUGUUCACGUAAACCCUGAUCUACCUAACUUUUCUCGAACAUCAUAACAUCGUCUAUUAAAAGACCUAAAUUUUGUACAUACUAAAGGAGGUAGACUAGGUGGAAUAAUCAAGAAGGACGAAAUCAUUAAUUGGAGAAACAAAUAUUUGAAGCAGUUACGAAAAUAUCGAGCAAAAGGACGGAGUCAUUUACUACCUAGAUGAUACAUAGGUAAAUACAGGUGACGUUUCAAAUAAAAUUUAGGUUGACAAGUAAAGAUUGAAAAGUCUCUCAACAGGUGCUGCCAACCCGAAGGGCAAGGUCAAACGAUUAAUUGUCCUCCACAUUGGUUCGGAGGAAGGAUUUGUCCCUGGUGGGCUAUUAUCAUUUCAAUCAAAAAAACAUAUCGGUGACUAUCACAAUGGAAUUAAUUGUGAAACCAUUUUUGAUUGGAUGAAAGAUGUCGUUUCACUACUGAAGGACAAUUGUGUUAUCAUCAUGGACAAUGCUCCAUACCAUAGCGUGAGGGCCGAUUCGUGUCCAACGGUUAGUUGGAAGAAAACAGAUAUUGAGAAGUGGUUGGAGGAAAAAAGUGACAUUUUUGAAAAGCCUAUCAUUAACGCCCGGCCGAUGGUUAAGUAAAACAUAUAAAACCGGUAUAUAACAAAUACCUAAUUGAUGAAUACGUCAAAGAACAUAAUAAAGUUAUAUUACGAUUACCAUCUUACAAUUGUGAACUAAAUCCUAUAAAGUUUGCAUGGUCAGUUGUUAAAAAACACGUCAGAAUGAACAGCACAACAUUCAAAUUAGAUGAUGUACAAAAACUUCUUCACGGUUGAAUUAACAAAUGUACUCCAGACAUGUGGAAAAACUUUAUUCAACACACAAUAAUCAAAGACAAAUUUUGGAAAAUAGAUUUUGUUGUAGAUCGGAUCAUGGACAUGGCGG
RNAcentral lists this long non-coding RNA (1619 nucleotides) under Cinara cedri. The record is from RNAcentral. Lineage: Eukaryota; Metazoa; Arthropoda; Insecta; Hemiptera; Aphididae.